RNAcentral lists this ribosomal RNA (497 nucleotides) under uncultured bacterium. RNAcentral's name for it is "partial 16S ribosomal RNA". It matches the Rfam family "Bacterial small subunit ribosomal RNA", at positions 28 to 507 of the family's 1533-position model. The record is from RNAcentral.
GAUGAACGCUGGCGGCGUGCCUAAUACAUGCAAGUCGAGCGAACAGACGAGGAGCUUGCUCCUCUGACGUUAGCGGCGGACGGGUGAGUAACACGUGGAUAACCUACCUAUAAGACUGGGAUAACUUCGGGAAACCGGAGCUAAUCCCGGAUAAUAUAUUGAACCGCAUGGUUCAAUAGUGAAAGACGGUUUUGCUGUCACUUAUAGAUGGAUCCGCGCCGCAUUAGCUAGUUGGUAAGGUAACGGCUUACCAAGGCAACGAUGCGUAGCCGACCUGAGAGGGGGAUCGGCCACACGGGAACUGAGACACGGUCCAGACUCCUACGGGAGGCAGCAGUAGGGAAUCUUCCGCAAUGGGCGAAAGCCUGACGGAGCAACGCCGCGUGAGUGAUGAAGGUCUUCGGAUCGUAAAACUCUGUUAUUAGGGAAGAACAAAUGUGUAAGUAACUAUGCACGUCUUGACGGUACCUAAUCAGAAAGCCACGGCUAACUACGUG